This is a long non-coding RNA of Cervus elaphus (red deer), 357 nucleotides long. RefSeq lists it as uncharacterized. The transcript has 2 exons. The record is from RefSeq and is a predicted model, not a curated record. NCBI's taxonomy places the organism in Eukaryota, Metazoa, Chordata, Mammalia, Artiodactyla, Cervidae.
GAGAGGAACUCCUGCGCUGAGACCCGGGACCACCCCCGAGGCUGUCCACAAGAAGUACGCUCAGGAACACAACAGUAGACAGAGGAAGAGAAGACUUGGGGAGACGGUGAUGUGGAGACAGAGAAGGCACGGGGGAGAUGGUGAUGUGGAGACAGAGAAGACACGGGGAGACGGUGAUGUGGAAACCGAGGUUGGAAUGAAGCAGCCACAAGCCUGGGGCACCAGGAGGCACGGAAGCUGAAAGAGGCAAAGAAGGAUCCUUUUCUGGAGCUUCCAGUGGAAGCAGGGCUCUGCCAAUGUCUUGAUUUCACACUCUAGCUUCCAGAAUUGUGAGGAAAUAAACUCAUGUUGUUUUGA